UAAAUGGCGAAGAAGGAAAAAGUAUUUUUGACGCGAUUUUCUCAGAGAGCCUGUCUAUGGUGGAAGCAGGCAAAAUCGUACAAAAAGAAUGGGCUCCCGAGCUUGACGGACGAACAACAGUAGUCCGACACGUAUCCCGCGUUAAGGGAAUAGAGCGGCUUUUAACGAAGCAAUUCGGGUGGUACCACGGUUACUUUUCAUCAAUCGUCCCUUUU
This 215-nucleotide non-coding RNA is filed under the name Sporosarcina newyorkensis. RNAcentral's name for it is "T-box sequence". It matches the Rfam family "T-box leader". Rfam says of the family: Uncharged tRNA acts as the effector for transcription antitermination of genes in the T-box leader family. T-boxes are found upstream of many aminoacyl-tRNA synthetase genes and some amino acid biosynthetic genes usually in Gram-positive bacteria. The record is from RNAcentral. Lineage: Bacteria; Bacillati; Bacillota; Bacilli; Caryophanales; Caryophanaceae.